CCGCGGAUAGGGUAGCUGGGUAGCCUACGGGCCUGAUGGAGCCCGUGACGCGGGUUCAAAUCCCGCUCCGCGAACCA
This 77-nucleotide transfer RNA is filed under the name Archaeoglobales archaeon. RNAcentral describes it as "tRNA-Ile". It matches the Rfam family "tRNA". From Rfam's summary of the family: Transfer RNA (tRNA) molecules are approximately 80 nucleotides in length. Lineage: Archaea; Methanobacteriati; Methanobacteriota; Archaeoglobi; Archaeoglobales. The record is from RNAcentral.